RNAcentral lists this transfer RNA (73 nucleotides) under Azospirillum brasilense. RNAcentral's name for it is "tRNA-Met". It matches the Rfam family "tRNA". Rfam says of the family: Transfer RNA (tRNA) molecules are approximately 80 nucleotides in length. The record is from RNAcentral. Lineage: Bacteria; Pseudomonadati; Pseudomonadota; Alphaproteobacteria; Rhodospirillales; Azospirillaceae.
GGACCCGUAGCUCAACGGUUAGAGCUGGCCGCUCAUAACGAUCUGGUUGCAGGGUCAAAUCCUGCCGGGUCCA